UUGGAGGGCAAGUCUGGUGCCGGCAGCCGCGGUAAUUCCAGCUCCAAUAGCGUAUAUUAAAGUUGUUGCAGUUAAAAAGCUCGUAGUUGAAUUUCGGGAUCAAAUUGUCGGUCGUGCCUCGGUACGCACUGGUAUUACUGGUUCCUACCUUCUGAAGAACCGCGAUGUCAUUAAUCUGGUGUCGUGGGGAAUCAGGACUGUUACUUUGAAAAAAUUAGAGUGUUUAAAGCAGGCUUACGCUUGAAUACAUUAGCAUGGAAUAAUGAAAUAGGACGUUUGAUUCUAUUUUGUUGGUUUCUAGGAUUGACGUAAUGAUUAAUAGGGAUAGUUGGGGGCAUUAGUAUUCAAUUGUCAGAGGUGAAAUUCUUGGAUUUAUUGAAGACUAACUACUGCGAAAGCAUUUGCCAAGGAUGUUUUCAUUAACCAAGAACGAAAGUUAGGGGAUCGAAGACGAUCAGAUACCGUCGUAGUCUUAACCAUAAACUAUGCCGACUAGGGAUCGGAUGAUGUUAAUUUUUUAAUGACUCAUUCGGCGCCUUACGGGAAACCAAAGUGUUUGGGUUC
This 564-nucleotide ribosomal RNA is filed under the name uncultured Glomeromycotina. RNAcentral's name for it is "SSU rRNA". It matches the Rfam family "Eukaryotic small subunit ribosomal RNA", at positions 548 to 1114 of the family's 1831-position model. The record is from RNAcentral. Lineage: Eukaryota; Fungi; Glomeromycota.